GCCAGGCUCACACCUGCUGAGCUGCAGUGGGCUGCCAGCUGGGAGCUACAGGGUGAUAUGGCUGCUGGCGGUUCUGGGAUUAGUGAGCUGCUAGCUACUGAACGAGCUGGAUGGGUGGAGUGGCUCGUCUCGUCUGUGACCUGUCUUCUGAAGAGCCUCUUGGCUUUUUGCUUUUAACUCCACCUGUCUGCAGGCCCGCAAGACAGGGGUUUCAAACUCAAGAGUCCCCUGCAGAGCCGCAGACAGAAAGCCACGUGCAGAGAUGGAAAAUGAGGGUUUCACACGGCAGUAGUGCAGUUUCCAGACCUGUUGUGCAACAUAGUGCUUUCAUCACCGCGGUACACAGUGUGCUACCAGGAUUCUUCAUUGGGAAUGUUCAUAAGGGCUGGGGAGGCAGGUGAACGUCGUUAUAAACAACUCUACCAUGAUAACAACCUCUGCUCCAGAGUCCGCUCUCCGUUACUAGACCGAAUCAGUUAUCAAUCAACUGGACUGUUUCCGCAGUGCGGCCGCUGGGAGUUCACUGCGAGUUGAUGAUUUAAAGGACAGGGCCGACCAGCUCUGACUAAUAGAGUGCACUUCGGCCGCGCGGUGAUCCACUCCUCAGGCCAGGACACAGGGCAACACGAGAUGUCUGUUCUAGUUUCCUUCUCCGCCACUCUGUCGUCUGCAUGUUUAACCCUGCCCUGCUCCACGCUGCUCACCAAGCUAAUCGGAAGCGUUAAUAAAUAUGCUGUUAGCCUGUGACAAAGGGCUGAGCUUCUGGUAUGAGUCUAUGUGCUCCGCGGGGUCUGGGAGAGCGCUCUUGGUUGAAGAGAAGGAGUCUUGAGCUGACGGGGUACCCCAUCGAGAGGGGAGGUGCUGUUGGUGCCGCUCCUCCGGUUGCUCACUUUAAACAAGGGGGGAAAGAGCACAGAGGUCAGAGUUCAAAGGUUCAGCAAAAUCUCAGCAGUGUGUGGAGCGAGAGAGGGUGGGGCGUCCGCUAAACGUGCGGCCCCUGUGUUUUUCUUUUGGUCAAACUGUAAUCCAGGCUACUAGAGAACCGUAACUAAUAAAAACAUGACGUGGGAGAGGGGUUACCCAGGCUUAUUGAGUGCCAGAGUACACAGGGGGAGGGGUCUCUGCACAUACUGUACAUGUCUGAGCGGAGAAAGUGUCACAGUUCUACCGCCUGCAGUGGGGGGGUCUGGUUCAUUACUCUUUCAUCAGGGGAGGAGACCCUGGCCGUGGUGAGAGAGAGCUAUCCACUGUCAGACUGUGAGACAUCUGUCACGCUGGGGGCUGACUGUGAGCCGUGCAGAGCACACAAGGUGGCGUGGACCCUUUCUGGAUCUUCUUCAUGACCACUGGGCAAGU
Non-coding RNA from Lepisosteus oculatus (spotted gar), 1356 nucleotides. Lineage: Eukaryota; Metazoa; Chordata; Actinopteri; Semionotiformes; Lepisosteidae. The record is from RefSeq and is a predicted model, not a curated record.